RNAcentral lists this ribosomal RNA (225 nucleotides) under Candidatus Poribacteria bacterium. RNAcentral's name for it is "partial 16S ribosomal RNA". It matches the Rfam family "Bacterial small subunit ribosomal RNA", at positions 1309 to 1533 of the family's 1533-position model. The record is from RNAcentral. Lineage: Bacteria; Candidatus Poribacteria.
AACUCGACUGCAUGAAGUUGGAAUCGCUAGUAAUCGCGAAUCAGCAGGUCGCGGUGAAUACGUUCCCGGCCCUUGUACACACCGCCCGUCACGCCAUGGGAGUUGGUAGCAUUCAAAGCGGGUGACCCAACCUUCGGGAGGGAGCUCUCUAAAGUGAAACCGAUAACCGGGGCGAAGUCGUAACAAGGUAGCCGUAGGGGAACCUGCGGCUGGAUCACCUCCUUU